CGCACACACACCGUGUAUGUAAGGGCGGAGGGGCGGGGAAAUUUGAUAAUUCUAUUAUUGUUUGAUUUUCGUAUAACUCAAUUCUAUGAAUCUCUUGUUUCAGAUGAUGCUUAUCUAUGGUUCUUCGUUUGGUUUAUUAUCUCUCCUAUAGAUUCUAUUUAGGUUCAAGGCUAUGUAGACAACAACAACAACAACAACAACAAAUUCCUCUAUUAAAUUUCUAAGAGCUAUGUACAUAUGAAUGUAUCUCAAGGGACUCGGUUAUCUUACUUAUGUAUGUAUGUACAUAUUGCACAAGUUUCAAUUAGGAACUGAAAACGAACAUAAAAACUAUUUCCACUGAAUGUUAUUUAAGUUACCAAGGGCAAUAACUAAUGGGUUUUCCGAAGAUUAUGAAAGUACAUACACUCCACUCCCGUAUAUGGAUAUCAAAUGAGUCGUAACAUGAAUGCCCCUUAUCCAACAAGAAAAAAGCCAUCCACUGGAUCUGCCCUUCAGAUCAGAGUUCGACUGAUGAGCUGGCUGAAUGCGCCCUGGAGACAACAAGUUUCAGCUAAAUAAUCUAAAUAAUACCUCUAACUAUUGUUAUUAUGCUUAUUGUUUUUUUGCCAUAAAUUAUUUUUAUCUUUAAGUAA
This is a long non-coding RNA of Drosophila willistoni, 635 nucleotides long. RefSeq lists it as uncharacterized. Lineage: Eukaryota; Metazoa; Arthropoda; Insecta; Diptera; Drosophilidae. The transcript has 2 exons. The record is from RefSeq and is a predicted model, not a curated record.